AGUUUGAUCCUGGCUCAGGACGAACGCUGGCGGCGUGCUUAACACAUGCAAGUCGAACGGUGAUGCUCCAGCUUGCUGGAGUGGAUCAGUGGCGAACGGGUGAGUAACACGUGAGCAACCUGCCCCAGACUCUGGAAUAAGCGCUGGAAACGGCGUCUAAUACUGGAUACGAAACUGGCCCGCAUGGGCAUGGUUUGGAAAGUUUUUCGGUUUGGGAUGGGCUCGCGGCCUAUCAGCUUGUUGGUGAGGUAAUGGCUCACCAAGGCGACGACGGGUAGCCGGCCUGAGAGGGCGACCGGCCACACUGGGACUGAGACACGGCCCAGACUCCUACGGGAGGCAGCAGUGGGGAAUAUUGCACAAUGGGCGAAAGCCUGAUGCAGCGACGCCGCGUGAGGGAUGACGGCCUUCGGGUUGUAAACCUCUUUCAGCAGGGAAGAAGCGAAAGUGACGGUACCUGCAGAAGAAGCACCGGCUAACUACGUGCCAGCAGCCGCGGUAAUACGUAGGGUGCGAGCGUUGUCCGGAAUUAUUGGGCGUAAAGAGCUUGUAGGCGGUUUGUCGCGUCUGCUGUGAAAAUCCGGGGCUCAACCCCGGACUUGCAGUGGGUACGGGCAGACUAGAGUGUGGUAGGGGAGACUGGAAUUCUCUGGUGUAGCGGUGAAAUGCGCAGAUAUCAGGAGGAACACCGAUGGCGAAGGCAGGUCUCUGGGCCACUACUGACGCUGAGAAGCGAAAGCAUGGGGAGCGAACAGGAUUAGAUACCCUGGUAGUCC
This 776-nucleotide ribosomal RNA is filed under the name bacterium C01. RNAcentral describes it as "bacterial SSU rRNA". It matches the Rfam family "Bacterial small subunit ribosomal RNA", at positions 10 to 796 of the family's 1533-position model. The record is from RNAcentral.